GAAACAAUAAAUAUACACAAUGUGGGAAAUAAUAGAGUUACAUGAAUCUAGAAAUCUAGUAUAUACAUAGUUUAAAUGCUCCUUUCUUGGUGCACAAGCUUCAUAUCCAAGUUGGUGUAAGGAGGCAAGGGAGGAAUGUUGCCUAUGAUGAUGAAAAGAAGACACAAUAUAAAAUGUUUUGCUUUCGGUAUGACAUUCUGGUGCAAACUGUGACUAGUAAAAACCUGAUCUUGCAGGGGAACGUGUGCGUGUUCGAAAACGAGGAGGAAUGUUAGGGGUUAUGGAGGUUAUAACCGAUAAACAAAUUUGAUAAGUGAUGAAGAUACAUACAAAAUGGUUCUUUGGAUCUAGGAUUAGAAGCUAGCACAAGGAAUGGAGUACGUGAGAAAAAAGGUCGCAGGUUGAAUGUGGUAGUAGCAAGGAAACAACCAGAUUAGAGCGCAUUUGUGGGCGUUUUUUUAUUUUUCGUGUGUGACAUGUAUUUGUUGGGGAUAUUAUGACAAUCGUUAGAUGCCACCAUUUGAGAGGCAUCAAAUUGUAUUUUGAAAAUAAUAUUUUCUAUAUUUGUAGUGCCGGCUUAUUAUUAAA
Gossypium arboreum is the source of this 588-nucleotide long non-coding RNA. RefSeq lists it as uncharacterized. The record is from RefSeq and is a predicted model, not a curated record. The transcript has 2 exons. NCBI's taxonomy places the organism in Eukaryota, Viridiplantae, Streptophyta, Magnoliopsida, Malvales, Malvaceae.